AGGCUGUGAUGAGAAAAUUCGUUUCUCGAUUCUGAUUUAUUCAAGACCAUACGCUAGUUUUGCGUUUAUUGCGUCGUGAUGACGGCAUUUGUGCGUGUCUGAGCCUU
Small nucleolar RNA from Malania oleifera, 107 nucleotides. RefSeq annotates it as small nucleolar RNA snoR126. The record is from RefSeq and is a predicted model, not a curated record. The transcript has a single exon. Lineage: Eukaryota; Viridiplantae; Streptophyta; Magnoliopsida; Santalales; Ximeniaceae.